AAGCUAAUUUUGUAUGUUUUGAUGCUUUUCUACAGAUAUUACAUUACGUCAUCUACGUACAUAGUAACCAAAGAUCAUCUGCCUUGAAUUGCAACUGCUCCAAGAUCUUCCUUGCAAGUUUUGGUCUUUCAAUUUCCUUGUCGUGCCUCAUCUCUAUUCGCUCUUCUCGUUUGUGACUGCUUAACUAAAGUCAGCUUUCUGUAUCAGGAAACGAUUUCCAGAACCAACAAAGGGAAGAAGAAGAAGGAGCAUCCA
This is a long non-coding RNA of Rana temporaria (common frog), 255 nucleotides long. RefSeq lists it as uncharacterized. The transcript is spliced from 3 exons. NCBI's taxonomy places the organism in Eukaryota, Metazoa, Chordata, Amphibia, Anura, Ranidae. The record is from RefSeq and is a predicted model, not a curated record.